GGGGGCGAAUGGGCUCGACGGGGUGGGAAGAAGCAGGGCUGCGAGCCGAGGUUCCAGGGUCCUCGGAAAAAACCUGGACGACGCCUUAAGCGUCAACCAGCCUGUGCUCGCCGCCGCGGCGUAAUCCCCGCGGCCGCCCGCCCGGCCUCGCCGACGGGCCGGGGGAGGGUGUGAUGAGUCGGCUGCGCCGCACCGCCUUCGUCCCGGGCGGUGCGGCAAAGACGAGCGGGACUAGUGCCUGAGGGAUCCCGCCUGCGGGAGCCAUCAGGCGCGAAACGAAAACGCAGGCUACGCUCGUAGACGCUCUGCCCUCUCUCACUCCGGACGCGGGUUCGAUUCCCGCCGCCUCCACCA
This 354-nucleotide transfer-messenger RNA is filed under the name bacterium. RNAcentral describes it as "SpSt-150 sp025059775 X2 Standard tmRNA". It matches the Rfam family "transfer-messenger RNA". From Rfam's summary of the family: Bacterial tmRNA, also known as 10Sa RNA or SsrA, is named for its dual tRNA and mRNA-like properties. Its role is to liberate the mRNA from a stalled ribosome. RNAcentral also lists the same sequence under 1 other name. The record is from RNAcentral.